UCGCACGACGCCUCCCCUACAGUUCUCCGAUUCUCGUUUUCCGCAAGGAAUGUCCUCCUCGGACCCCUCUGCUGGGCUGGGUCACCACAAUACGUCGCAUCUCGUACCUGCAUCAGGAACCUCGAUGAUCGCCGCGCUCAGGUUAUAUUGUGCCACGGUUGUCAGUAGCUGACAAGCCAGUCCCAUGCGAGGGUACGCGUCUCGGAACUUAACCCUAAUCUAUUUGUUGGUGUAUUGCGUGCCCUGUUCGUCCGAGCCGCCCUCUAAAUCCAACCUGUCUUUCCUGUGAGGCUCAUGCCGCUGAAAAGUGGUUCUUGGGCCAACCAGGGCAUGGAGGAUGGAAAGGCGGCGGAGAUCCCCCCAGACGUCCUUCCCGGACGCGUGAGAGUCGGCACCUAUGAGUCGCAAGGGUAAGAACCUCAGGCCAGAGGUCGCUCGUCAGGUCUCGGCAUCUGGGCUUUGAACGCUGGUCAUCAUGGGUCGUUUUGGUGUGUCGUGUGGUCACCAACACGCAGGUGCGGGCGUCUGCAGCUCCGGCUUGCCGCGGCUGCCGCCUGCCACCUGGUCUUGUUGUAGCUGAGAAGGGUACGGCACAGGCUUCACACGGUCGAUCCUCGGACAUUCCCACAUUCAGUGCACACGCCUCUGGCCGCCUUGCCUGAACCUCUGCGCUGGUCGUCGAGUAGCAAGGGUCAGACGGCCUCAGACAGGAAUGUCGUGUGAUAUUGACGCAGACUGCCAUACCGUCAUGCCCUCGGUCCUCUCUCUCAACUUCGACCUCUGAGCUGUGGACGUCCAGCUGUCCAAUCCGUCCCACCACCAGAACCACGUCACGGCAACAGCCACCGAUGUGUCAUGCAAUGCAUGAGAUCCGGCCAGGCGCAUUAACUUGAGCCCAUGGGCCCUGCCCCAAGGGUAAUCAAGGCACCCGACGCCUUGCUCACUACACCGCCCGGUGGUGUGCAUGACCCCUCUCAGCUACCAGAAAUGGACUGCGCGAGAGACGAUAGCGCAGUUUUUGAGGAUGUCUUUUGUCUGCGCGCUACUUGCCCUCCUUCGUUGCUCUUGGUGGCCCGCUGGAGAGGACACAAAAACUAGCCCUUGUUGGCAGUGCGAUCACACGGAAAGAGCUUCUUCCUGGCACGACUGAUGGCCCUUGUCACAGCAUCCUGUAGUGUCUUUUUUGUUUUGGUGGCGUGGGCGCUUCUAUGACGACAGGGCUCCUUUGGGUACGUUUACGAUGCGGGCUCUGGCUGAGUUGUGGGUGUGAGUACCAUGGGACGGACUGAUCGAUCAGGUUCGCGGGGCUCUGUUCACUUGGUAUGCUGCGCCUGGCGAGUUUCUUUUGCUUGGUGUACAGCAGGAUCGGGACCCAUCCCGAUUUGGAGUCAAAGUUUUGUGCUUGUCCGGUUCUGUUGUCGCCCUUGUAAUAGGCUCUUGCUCUGGCAGCUUCAUGCAAGUGUCGCACGCUGUUAUCUGAUCUCCAUUUGGAAAGGGACAGGGUUCGUGAAGAGCAGUCCCAGCUGCUCUCUCUCCAGCAAUGGCGAGAGAGCGGCCCCCUUUUU
Non-coding RNA from Diaporthe helianthi, 1565 nucleotides. NCBI's taxonomy places the organism in Eukaryota, Fungi, Ascomycota, Sordariomycetes, Diaporthales, Diaporthaceae. The record is from Rfam.